Molecule: long non-coding RNA, 530 nt
Organism: Peromyscus eremicus (cactus mouse)
Lineage: Eukaryota; Metazoa; Chordata; Mammalia; Rodentia; Cricetidae
Exons: 2
Source: RefSeq, a predicted model, not a curated record
CUUCCUUCUUUAAAUUGCUUCUGUCAAGUGUUUUGUCACAGCAACAAGAGAAGCAACUAACACAUUGCUCUUCUGGUUCAGAGGAUCAUGAGAUGGACCUGACCCUGUGGGGAAGACCCGAGAUCUUGGGGACGAUUGGCCCUGCAUCUUGGUGGUCGUGUUCAGGCAGCGGGCCGACACCUAAUUCUGGAUCUGAAUGGGAGAGAGAAGAGACAAAAACAGGGGGACUGUGAAAGACAGCAAGGGACCGAGAAGGACAAGCCAGCUUUACAGAGUAUGUGACAUUUCCCAACAAGACUCUACAUCUGCCACCCGGCACCCUGACUCCCAGAGUUCUGGAAAUGCACACCAUUAGUAACUUCAGUUCCCUGGGAUCCAACCCCACUUUUCUGACCUCUGAAGGCACCAGGCACAAAUGUGGUGCAUAGACAUACAUGUGGGGAAAAUACCCAGAUGUGCAAAUAAAUAAACAAACAUGGAGCAACACCCUGAAAAGAUAAGUAACAUAAAUAAAUGAUAUAAAAGAAGGA